GAUAGAUUCAGAGGCUGGCUGUAAACAGCUUCCGAUGCUAACAGGGUUGAGGACAAGGAGGGGACAGAAAAUAGAAAUUGCCAUAUCAUUCUCUUUAGAGUCUUGACCAAGGGCAACCUGUUCCUGACAGGGUCAGCAAAGCUGUGCUUCCUCCUCUGAUGGGUUUGUAAGCCUGGCAGAGAGAAGAAAGCGAGGAGAAGGAAUGCUGGUUCCUCUGCCAGCCAGCUCUGUUUAUGAAAUUCCUGAUUGUCUCCAGAAACGAGAGGAAAGCUAAGUGCUUGGUGCAAAGCUGUCUGAGAAGACAAGGCUGAAAGAGGCUCGUCAGAAACUCCACACUCCAAGACUGGAAAGAGAGCGUUCAGUGGUUAAGAGCACCUGCUGCUCUUGCAGAGGGUCUGGGUUGGAUUCCCAACACCCACAUUGCAGCUCACAGCCUCCUCUAGCUCCAGUUCCAGGGGAUCAGGCAUCUUCUGGCCUCCUCAGACACCAGGCACGGAGCAAUCUCUGUCAAGAUGUGUGUGCCCGAGUCUCUCCACUUCCAAAAUGGAAACAGCAAGGAGCUUGGAACCAGCAAAGAAUAAACAUCUUAAGAAGACUGCACAGCUCAGCUUGGAACUGCUGGAGAAAGGCAGCCUUUAAGCCUGUGUGUUUUCUUCUUGACGUUCGGUUUUGUGGCAACAAGCACCGAUCAUGCCCCACUGACUCAAGCAUUCCUGGGUCUUGCUCCUUCAUUAGAUGGUGAGCACUCUCAGGGCUGUGUGUCAAGACCUGACGGUUCUAGCCCACGGUCUUCACAUUGCGGACUCUCUGCUGCUCGCUGUUGCCACCGUGAAUUCUGCUACGCUUUUCUGCUGUGAUGGACUGAAGCUGCCCUGACAGUGAUCACAAUAAAUCUCUCCUCUCUCAAGUUAUUUCUGCCAGAUGAACGUGGAAAGGAACACUUUUGAUAAGCAACAAGACACAGAUAGCCUAUCAGAUGUGGGAAUGAAGUGCGGAAAACCCAAAAUCAUUUAGCAAAUGGAUUGAAGCUAGCCAGAAUUUCACCAGUCCAGGGAGAGCACAAAGGGGAGUUAGCCUCUGCCGAACCAAGCUGCCUUGCUGAAGGCUCUGCCUGUCUCUGAGGAAGCCAGGGUAAAAGGCCUGUCUCCUAUCUCAUUAGGGAUGCUCUGAAGGAGCAGUAUUUCCUGAGAGCUGGUGAGGUGGCGAUACAUUCUGCUGUUGCCACGGACGUUCAGCCUCCAAGAUGGAUGCAGUUUUGUACUACUACUGUAGGAUCUGACGGAAAAUAAUGAAUGAUUAAUAAAUGAACAGAUGGAAGAUACCUCAUGAACUUAAAUCCUGUAAUUGCAAGAGGGGUAAAAAUCGGCCUCCACCCUAACAAAUACAGACUUCCAUCUGCAGGCAAGUGGGGCCAUGGGAUCUGCUAACAUGCAGAAGGAAGAUAGCAGCUCUUUGUGAACUCUCGGGCCUGCUGCACAAUAAGCCAGAACAACACAGAGACAAGAUGCUUUGGAACGUCUGGGAGUCUCUGCUGUCUUAUUACAUACAAGGACCCUGGCAUUUCCUGCUAAUUCAAAGGAAGAGAAGAAAAUUAGUGCCUGUUCUUCAUCAUGUCUGUGAAACUGGAGCCAAAAAUGGAUUUUUUUUGGAUCACACAUCUCCUGUCUCCUGCUGCCGGUGAUGAAGCUGCCAGCCCCACGCCAGUGGGCGGAAAUAGAUACCAGCCCUGGAGGAAGUACUGACUGCUUAUGGGCGCCUGCCACCCUCCCUGCUUCCUCCUCUUCGUGUGGAAGGAAACCGUGGGCUUUCCUGGGCAUUUUUUCUUAUUCUCUUAAUACAGGGGAACUGAAGCAUUUGGCUUUGGUUGUUUGGAUAGUGAAUCUCAGCUUGGAGGGCUUUCCAGAAAGCAGGCGGCUCCGGUCUCUGAACUCUAACUCCGUUUCUCCACCCCCCUUCCGGUGCUGUGCAGUUCUUUCCAAUUCCUGAAUUGACAUGUACAGUACUAGAAAACCUGCAGAGAGCGCCUGGAGGUCACAGCCUGCAUGAGCUUUCAAGCUGGAGAGGGCUAAGUGGAAGGAAGACACUGCACCCCUGGGAUUUCCUCCUGCAAAUGAGAUGAAAUCUAUAUAAAUGUACUCUUUCCCGUCUCAUACCUUUUAUUCGAUUUGCAUACCACGGAUCCGAUGACAACUCUCUUGAAAAGUGCUCCUUUGACUGUUUCAGCCACAGCGGUUCAUGCAAAGAAACUAAAUCUUGGAAAGGAAGGGGCUAACCCCUCCCCAUGCUUGUGCUCAGGAACCACAUGAUGACCAUGACAGACCAUGACCAGGACAUCGGAACUUGUGUAUGAGAGAUCAGGGCCUCUUCCAGGCUGUGGGUAGGACUGGCAUGACUGAGAACCCUGCCUUCAGAGUCCUCUGACCCUGCUCAGUUCCUACAGCUAUCUCCAAGCUCUUGUGCUAUGAAACCCCUUUGUUUCUCUAUCUGAACUGUGGCC
Molecule: long non-coding RNA, 2497 nt
Filed under: Mus musculus (house mouse)
Lineage: Eukaryota; Metazoa; Chordata; Mammalia; Rodentia; Muridae
Description: predicted gene, 49319
Source: RNAcentral